CGGGGUAGGGUAACGCGUGAGGAACCUGCCUCAAAGAGGGGGACAACAGUUGGAAACGACUGCUAAUACCGCAUAAGCCCACAGCUCGGCAUCGAGCAGAGGGAAAAGGAGUGAUCCGCUUUGAGAUGGCCUCGCGUCCGAUUAGCUAGUUGGUGAGGUAAUGGCCCACCAAGGCGACGAUCGGUAGCCGGACUGAGAGGUUGAACGGCCACAUUGGGACUGAGACACGGCCCAG
Molecule: ribosomal RNA, 235 nt
Filed under: uncultured bacterium
Lineage: Bacteria
Description: partial 16S ribosomal RNA
Rfam family: Bacterial small subunit ribosomal RNA
Source: RNAcentral